UACGUAGGGUGCAAGCGUUGUUCGGAAUUACUGGGCGUAAAGGGCUCGUAGGCGGCCAAUUAAGUCCGACGUGAAAUCCCCAGGCUUAACCUGGGAACUGCGUCGGAUACUGAUUGGCUUGAAUCCGGGAGAGGGAAGUGGAAUUCCCGGUGUAGUGGUGAAAUGCGUAGAUAUCGGGAGGAACACCAGUGGCGAAGGCGACUUCCUGGCCUGUUCUUGACGCUGAGGCGCGAAAGCUAGGGGAGCAAACGGG
This 253-nucleotide ribosomal RNA is filed under the name uncultured bacterium. Its description in RNAcentral is "partial 16S ribosomal RNA". It matches the Rfam family "Bacterial small subunit ribosomal RNA", at positions 524 to 776 of the family's 1533-position model. The record is from RNAcentral.